AGUGAACGCUGGCGGUAGGCCUAACACAUGCAAGUCGAACGGCAGCACAGUAAGAGCUUGCUCUUACGGGUGGCGAGUGGCGGACGGGUGAGGAAUACAUCGGAAUCUACUUUUUCGUGGGGGAUAACGUAGGGAAACUUACGCUAAUACCGCAUACGACCUACGGGUGAAAGCAGGGGAUCUUUGGACCUUGCGCGAUUGAAUGAGCCGAUGUCGGAUUUGCUAGUUGGCGGGGUAAAGGCCCACCAAGGCGACGAUCCGUAGCUGGUCUGAGAGGAUGAUCAGCCACACUGGAACUGAGACACGGUCCAGACUCCUACGGGAGGCAGCAGUGGGGAAUAUUGGACAAUGGGCGCAAGCCUGAUCCAGCCAUACCGCGUGGGUGAAGAAGGCCUUCGGGUUGUAAAGCCCUUUUGUUGGGAAAGAAAAGCAGCAGGUUAAUACCCCGCUGUUCUGACGGUACCCAAAGAAUAAGCACCGGCUAACUUCGUG
Molecule: ribosomal RNA, 492 nt
Filed under: uncultured bacterium
Lineage: Bacteria
Description: partial 16S ribosomal RNA
Rfam family: Bacterial small subunit ribosomal RNA
Source: RNAcentral